This 423-nucleotide ribosomal RNA is filed under the name uncultured bacterium. RNAcentral describes it as "bacterial SSU rRNA". It matches the Rfam family "Bacterial small subunit ribosomal RNA", at positions 358 to 772 of the family's 1533-position model. The record is from RNAcentral.
GGAAUUGUUCGCAAUGGACGAAAGUCUGACGACGCAACGCCGCGUGAAGGAUGAAGGUCUUCGGAUUGUAAACUUCUGUUGGGUGGGAAGAAUGGCCUUUGGGUUAAUACCCCGGAGGUUUGACGGUACCACCUGAGGAAGCCCCGGCUAACUCUGUGCCAGCAGCCGCGGUAAUACAGAGGGGGCAAGCGUUGUUCGGAAUUACUGGGCGUAAAGGGCGCGUAGGCGGCCUGUUAAGUCGGACGUGAAAUUCCUCGGCUCAACCGGGGAACUGCGUCCGAUACUGGCGGGCUUGAGUUCGGGAGAGGAAUGUGGAAUUCCAGGUGUAGCGGUGAAAUGCGUAGAUAUCUGGAGGAACACCGGUGGCGAAGGCGGCAUUCUGGACCGACACUGACGCUGAGGCGCGAAAGCCAGGGGAGCAAA